This 420-nucleotide unclassified non-coding RNA is filed under the name fungal sp. RNAcentral describes it as "partial internal transcribed spacer region". The stretch from base 1 to 46 matches the Rfam family "Eukaryotic small subunit ribosomal RNA", at positions 1786 to 1831 of the family's 1831-position model. Lineage: Eukaryota; Fungi. The record is from RNAcentral.
AAGUCGUAACAAGGUUUCCGUAGGUGAACCUGCGGAAGGAUCAUUAUUAAAACGCUCGUUUACGGGAUCGAACACAAAAAACCCCAGUCGGCAAGGAUAAAAAGCCUUGGUUAGACGUCUGAAGUCUUCGGGGAGCGACCUGGUGCACGUUGACCGAUAUUUGAACUGGUAGGCUGAGACUCGCUCCGGGGCUCGGGAUCCUCUAUCUAAGGGUUUGUCGCAACGGAGCGCAGCAGCGACCUGGUGCUAGUCAAAUAUAUGGAUGUGUAGGCUGAGGCUCGUGACGAUAACGACUCUUUCCAUUGCCCUAGCUGGCGCAAAACAUACUUCAAACUUUUAUCGUCUGAAUCUUUUUGUUGUUCAUUUUGAACUCCAAUAUGAAUUAUUAAACAACUUUUAACAACGGAUCUCUUGGCUCUC